RNAcentral lists this ribosomal RNA (497 nucleotides) under uncultured bacterium. RNAcentral describes it as "partial 16S ribosomal RNA". It matches the Rfam family "Bacterial small subunit ribosomal RNA", at positions 28 to 507 of the family's 1533-position model. The record is from RNAcentral.
GAUGAACGCUGGCGGCGUGCCUAAUACAUGCAAGUCGAGCGGACAGACGAGGAUCUUGCUCCUCUGACGUUAGCGGCGCACGGGUGAGUAACACGUGUAUAACCUACCUAUAAGACUGGGAUAACUUCGGGAAACCGGCGCAAAUACCGGAUGAUAUAUUGAACCGCGUGGUUCAUUAGUGAAAGACGGUUUUGCGGUCACGUAUAGAUGGAUCCGCGCCGCAUUAGCUAGUUGGUGAGGUAACGGCUUACCAAGGCAACCAUGCGUAGCCGAACUGAGAGGGUGAUCGGCCACACUGGAACUGAGACACGGUCCAGGCUCCUACGGUACGCAGCAGUAGGGAAUCUUCUGCAAUGGGCGAAAGCCUGACGGAGCACCGCCGCGUCAGUUAUAGAGGUCUUCGGAUCGGAAAACUCUGCUAUUAGUGAAGAACAAAUGUGUAAUUUACUAUGCACGUCUUGACGGUACCUAAUCAGAAAGCCCCGGCUAACUACGUG